GUGAUGGGGGAAGGAGCUGGUGUUCUACUUUUAGAAGAACUAGAACAUGCGAAGAAAAGAGGUGCAAAUAUCUACGCAGAAUUUCUUGGAGGAAGUUUUACCUGUGAUGCCUAUCACAUGACUGAACCACAUCCUGAUGGAGUUGGUGUCACUCUCUGUAUAGAAAAAGCAUUAGUCCAAUCUGGGGUAUCUAAGGAGGAUGUAAAUUACGUAAAUGCACAUGCUACAUCCACCCCAGCUGGUGACCUUAAAGAGUAUGAAGCUCUCAUGCGAUGUUUUGGCCAAAAUACCGAUUUGAGAGUGAACUCCACGAAGUCCAUGAUAGGCCAUCUACUGGGAGCAGCUGGAGCUGUGGAAGCUAUUGCAGCAAUACAGGCAAUACGGACCGGAUGGAUUCAUCCAAACAUCAAUCUGGAAAUUCCGGAUGAAGGCGUGGACACAAGUGUUCUGGUUGGCUCAAAGAAAGAGAGAUUGGAUGUUAAGGUUGCAUUGUCUAACUCAUUUGGGUUCGGCGGCCACAACUCAUCAAUACUUUUUGCACCAUACAAGUGAUACAAGGCUACCUCAACCAUGAUGUAUUAAUGCAAAAGGUGUGUAGAUCUGUAAUUUAUCAGUCUUAUUGAUUUUGGUAUGGUAAUUGGCUACAAGAGAAG
RNAcentral lists this unclassified non-coding RNA (653 nucleotides) under Hevea brasiliensis (rubber tree). The record is from RNAcentral. Lineage: Eukaryota; Viridiplantae; Streptophyta; Magnoliopsida; Malpighiales; Euphorbiaceae.